Molecule: long non-coding RNA, 1042 nt
Filed under: Ictidomys tridecemlineatus (thirteen-lined ground squirrel)
Lineage: Eukaryota; Metazoa; Chordata; Mammalia; Rodentia; Sciuridae
Description: lncRNA (ENSSTOG00000034656.1)
Source: RNAcentral
CGGCGCGCAGGCUCGGUGAAGCGCAGUACGCGCGGACCGCGGGGAACGUUUCCUAGCAACUGGGGGAGGUGCGACGUCAUGGUGGCGGGUUCCGACAGCCGCUGCCACUGUAGAACCGCCGAGUGCACCUUCGAGUCCUUGCGGUUGGAGGUAGCGCUACUCGCUGCCCUGUGUCCGCACGUUUUCGUCUUCCCAUACAGUCUUAUCCCGCUCCUGAUCGCUGAGAACAACCUCUUGCGCGCCUCCGCCCCUGAGGCCCGGACCGGUGGAGGUCCCCGGCCUCGGUGGGACGAUGCUGGAGUCCAUUCGCGUGACGGAAAAGCUUCACUGGCCUGAGCAAGAACUCGCUAAGAAGUCUAUUCUAAAUGCAGAAGAUUCAUUGAUCAUUGACAGCAAAAGAAGCCUUUCACAUUUACCUGCUGGAAUACUAAAGGACAUUUUCACAACUGGAACCAGUAGUUACAAUGUCCUACUACAAAGCAAGGAGGAGAGAAAGCAUCAUUUACAAAAACAGUCUUCGUCCACCUACUCCAAAAGAUGUAGAAAACCCAGCAAAUCUCCUAGCUCCCCUCAUAGUAAAGAUCCUUGCAGGACGAAAACCCCAGUGCCUGUGGCAAGCACUGGUACUUGGUACUGCCUGGAGAGGCAGCCUACUAUUUUUGUCACUAAGUCAGUGUCAAGUCCUGUAAAGUUUACACAUGAUAUCUCUGUUACAGGGAACAGCCUAAUACUGCCACCUAAACCAAAAAGCAAGGUCAAGCGACGCCAUUUCUCCGCUCUUCCAAAGCCAAAGCAGCAGCCUCAGUUCUGUAGAAGCUUUGAAAAAGCAGAUGAGUUUUCUGGAAAAAAAUUUUGCAUAUUGACUGCUAUAAAGCCUACCAACUUAGAGAAAGAGAAACUGAGAUUCUUCAAGUCUGACUAUACCUACAAUCCACAGUUUGAGUAUGCUAAUCCUGCUCUGCCAAGUGUGUUAGCCAAACACAGCAACGCAUCUAACCGAUUUCUUAAGCAGGGUGUUUCAGUAAAGACCAGGUAUACUUAG